RNAcentral lists this long non-coding RNA (567 nucleotides) under Physcomitrium patens. Its description in RNAcentral is "long non-coding RNA (PPAT_LNC004611)". The record is from RNAcentral. Lineage: Eukaryota; Viridiplantae; Streptophyta; Bryopsida; Funariales; Funariaceae.
UCUGCAACCUUUGCGGCAUGAUCAUGGAUCCUUCGCAACGAAAUCGGAUGCCGAGCAGAAGAAGAAACACAACAGAAAGAAUAACCAAAGCAACAACCGCCGUUAUGAUUAAGGUGGCGGAAACACCGGGCUUCUUCAAAAUCUCGCACAUAACAACAUCCUUUGUUUUCAAAUCGAAUGUGCUCUUCAACGGUCCCAGAGUCUUCAUGUCGUGGAUCCGUCUAGCCAAGACCUAACAAACCAUCCGGAAUACUAAUGCUUCAAAAAUCUUCAAAUCCGCAAAAUGCAAAGAAUUCGAAUUGAUGUCGACACCUACAUCUACCAAGAAAAAGGGAGAGGUAUGAGCGAAUUUGAGAGGCACCUCCAAGCCUGAGAGUAGGUUUGAAAUUCUGCUGCGAAGACUCCAAUACACCGUAAUCCUCUGCGUAAGUGGGAUGAGGAGCACGACGGAGGCAAGGAACGACAAAUAGAAGAAAACCCACCAGCUCUCGCACGUCAGGAGGUUAGUUUGCGCCACAGUAACGAGCAACACCCCCUCCACCACAACGAACACUCCGAGGAGAUGAC